AAAAUAUUAACAUUAUUGUAUUUGUUGACCCAAUGAUGGUGCUCUUGGUUUAAAGCAAAAGGCUCAAGGAAUGGCAAUUCAGUGUGCUUUCAACUCUUUGUUGAACAGAGCGCGCCAUCUAGUGGGCUCAGAAAAUACAGAAAAUGCUUCAUGAAGCUUCAUUUGGAAAUCACUAAUUACCAUAACAUGUGGGAAGAGGGCACUUUUGGGUACCCAUAGAGUCAAUUUUCA
This is a long non-coding RNA of Sander lucioperca (pikeperch), 231 nucleotides long. RefSeq lists it as uncharacterized. Lineage: Eukaryota; Metazoa; Chordata; Actinopteri; Perciformes; Percidae. The record is from RefSeq and is a predicted model, not a curated record. The transcript is spliced from 3 exons.